GCAGUUCAGCUGGUAAAGCAUGAGACCCUUAAACUCAGGGUUGUGGGUUCGAGCCGCAGGUUGAGCA
This is a non-coding RNA of Podarcis lilfordi (Lilford's wall lizard), 67 nucleotides long. Lineage: Eukaryota; Metazoa; Chordata; Lepidosauria; Squamata; Lacertidae. The record is from the annotation of a GenBank genome assembly.